Molecule: ribosomal RNA, 253 nt
Filed under: uncultured bacterium
Lineage: Bacteria
Description: partial 16S ribosomal RNA
Rfam family: Bacterial small subunit ribosomal RNA
Source: RNAcentral
UACGAAUGGGGCUAGCGUUGUUCGGAAUUACUGGGCGUAAAGCGCACGUAGGCGGAUAUUUAAGUCAGGGGUGAAAUCCCAGAGCUCAACUCUGGAACUGCCUUUGAUACUGGGUAUCUUGAGUAUGGAAGAGGUGAGUGGAAUUCCGAGUGUAGAGGUGAAAUUCGUAGAUAUUCGGAGGAACACCAGUGGCGAAGGCGGCUCACUGGUCCAUUACUGACGCUGAGGUGCGAAAGCGUGGGGAGCAAACAGG